This 449-nucleotide ribosomal RNA is filed under the name uncultured bacterium. RNAcentral describes it as "partial 16S ribosomal RNA". It matches the Rfam family "Bacterial small subunit ribosomal RNA", at positions 29 to 523 of the family's 1533-position model. The record is from RNAcentral.
AACGAACGCUGGCGGCAUGCCUAACACAUGCAAGUCGAACGAGAUCUUCGGGUCUAGUGGCGCACGGGUGCGUAACGCGUGGGAAUCUGCCCUUUGGUUCGGAAUAACAGUUGGAGACGACUGCUAAUACCGGAUGAUGACGAAAGUCCAAAGAUUUAUCGCCAGAGGAUGAGCCCGCGUAGGAUUAGCUAGUUGGUGUGGUAAAGGCGCACCAAGGCGACGAUCCUUAGCUGGUCUGAGAGGAUGAUCAGCCACACUGGGACUGAGACACGGCCCAGACUCCUACGGGAGGCAACAGUGGGGAAUAUUGGACAAUGGGCGAAAGCCUGAUCCAGCAAUGCCGCGUGAGUGAUGAAGGCCUUAGGGUUGUAAAGCUCUUUUACCCGGGAUGAUAAUGACAGUACCGGGAGAAUAAGCUCCGGCUAACUCCGUGCCAGCAGCCGCUGUAA